GCCGGGGUAGACUAGAGGGUACAUCUGUCCAUCAAGCGGCGGGCCGGAGUAGAGCGAGACACCGGCGAGCUUGUUCCCGUUACCGAGAGUGACGUCUGCCGGGAAUGUCCGGUCGAGGGUGCUGGCGCCGACAGUGGUGAUCCAUGGAGCGAGGUUGGUGACAGACAUGGCGGUGGGGCCGUCAUUGCCGGCGGAGGCUGAGACGAGAACGCCGCGGGAGACGGCGCCGUAGGCGCCGAUAGCGAUCGGGUCGAGGUAGUAGGGGGAGGCGACACCCUCCCCGCCGCCGAUGGAGAUGGAGAGGACGUCAACGCCGUCUGCGACGGCGCGGUCGAACCCGGCGAGGAUGUCGG
This 353-nucleotide unclassified non-coding RNA is filed under the name Hevea brasiliensis (rubber tree). The record is from RNAcentral. Lineage: Eukaryota; Viridiplantae; Streptophyta; Magnoliopsida; Malpighiales; Euphorbiaceae.